Molecule: transfer RNA, 87 nt
Filed under: Eubacterium sp.
Lineage: Bacteria; Bacillati; Bacillota; Clostridia; Eubacteriales; Eubacteriaceae
Also listed under: 3 other names
Description: tRNA-Leu
Rfam family: tRNA
About the family: Transfer RNA (tRNA) molecules are approximately 80 nucleotides in length. Their secondary structure includes four short double-helical elements and three loops (D, anti-codon, and T loops).
Source: RNAcentral
GCCGCUGUGGCGAAAUCGGCAGACGCAAGGGACUUAAAAUCCCUCGGUAGCAAUACCGUACCGGUUCAAGUCCGGUCAGCGGCACCA